UACGUAGGUGGCAAGCGUUGUCCGGAAUUACUGGGCGUAAAGGGUUUGUAGGUGGCUUGCUAAGUCAGACGUGAAAUCCCUCAGCUUAACUGGGGAACUGCGUCUGAGACUGGCAAGCUUGAGUGCAGGAGAGGAACGCGGAAUUCCAGGUGUAGCGGUGAAAUGCGUAGAUAUCUGGAGGAACACCGGUGGCGAAGGCGGCGUUCUGGGCCGAAACUGACGCUGAGGAGCGAAAGCGUGGGGAGCGAACAGG
This 253-nucleotide ribosomal RNA is filed under the name uncultured bacterium. RNAcentral describes it as "partial 16S ribosomal RNA". It matches the Rfam family "Bacterial small subunit ribosomal RNA", at positions 524 to 776 of the family's 1533-position model. The record is from RNAcentral.